AAUGAACGAAAGUUUGACACAGCGACACCGCGUGUGGGAUGACGGAUCUAGGUUUGUAAACCACUUUCAGGAGGGAAGAAAAUGACGGUACCUCCACAAGAAGCCCCGGCCAACUACGUGCCAGCAGCCGCGGUAAUACGUAGGGGGCGAGCGUUGUCCGGAUUUAUUGGGCGUAAAGAGCUCGUAGGCGGUUCAACAAGUCGGUCGUGAAAGUUCAGGGCUCAACCCUGAAAUGCGAUCAAUACUGUUGGACUAGGAUACGGUAGAGGUGAGUGGAAUUCCGAGUGUAGCGGUGAAAUGCGUAGAUAUUCGGAGGAACACCAAUUGCGAAGGCAGCUCACUGGACCGCUAUCGACGCUGAGGAGCGAAAGCUAGGGGAGCAAACAGGAUU
RNAcentral lists this ribosomal RNA (391 nucleotides) under uncultured Actinomycetes bacterium. Its description in RNAcentral is "bacterial SSU rRNA". It matches the Rfam family "Bacterial small subunit ribosomal RNA", at positions 370 to 779 of the family's 1533-position model. Lineage: Bacteria; Bacillati; Actinomycetota; Actinomycetes. The record is from RNAcentral.